This 26-nucleotide non-coding RNA is filed under the name Homo sapiens (human). The record is from RNAcentral. Lineage: Eukaryota; Metazoa; Chordata; Mammalia; Primates; Hominidae.
UGGAAACCCUCUCGUCAGAGGAGAGC